RNAcentral lists this ribosomal RNA (569 nucleotides) under Salmonella enterica. RNAcentral describes it as "partial 23S ribosomal RNA". It matches the Rfam family "Bacterial large subunit ribosomal RNA", at positions 620 to 1190 of the family's 2925-position model. Lineage: Bacteria; Pseudomonadati; Pseudomonadota; Gammaproteobacteria; Enterobacterales; Enterobacteriaceae. The record is from RNAcentral.
UCAGCGACUUAUAUUCUGUAGCAAGGUUAACCGUAUAGGGGAGCCGAAGGGAAACCGAGUCUUAACCGGGCGUUAAGUUGCAGGGUAUAGACCCGAAACCCGGUGAUCUAGCCAUGGGCAGGUUGAAGGUUGGGUAACACUAACUGGAGGACCGAACCGACUAAUGUUGAAAAAUUAGCGGAUGACCUGUGGCUGGGGGUGAAAGGCCAAUCAAACCGGGAGAUAGCUGGUUCUCCCCGAAAGCUAUUUAGGUAGCGCCUCGUGAAUUCAUCUCCGGGGGUAGAGCACUGUUUCGGCUAGGGGGCCAUCCCGGCUUACCAACCCGAUGCAAACUGCGAAUACCGGAGAAUGUUAUCACGGGAGACACACGGCGGGUGCUAACGUCCGUCGUGAAGAGGGAAACAACCCAGACCGCCAGCUAAGGUCCCAAAGUCAUGGUUAAGUGGGAAACGAUGUGGGAAGGCCCAGACAGCCAGGAUGUUGGCUUAGAAGCAGCCAUCAUUUAAAGAAAGCGUAAUAGCUCACUGGUCGAGUCGGCCUGCGCGGAAGAUGUAACGGGGCUAAACCAU